Molecule: RNA transcript, 3130 nt
Organism: Solanum dulcamara
Lineage: Eukaryota; Viridiplantae; Streptophyta; Magnoliopsida; Solanales; Solanaceae
Exons: 3
Source: RefSeq, a predicted model, not a curated record
GUUGAAGGCAUGCCUGAUGAGUUCGUUGUCUAUUUAUCCUUUUCAAUUAGUAGGCUUGAGGGUUUGUUUGAGUUUUAAAUACAAUGUUUGUUUUGAUUGUUACUUCAAUUUUAUUAUGUCAUAUCGUUAAAUCCGUUAGGUAACAAGGAAAAGUCUCAUUUUGUGUAACUGUCAAUUUGGUAUGAUCAUGUUAUUACCCUUUUCUUUUCCUUCUCAUUUGUCUUUACUAAUUGUUUACUCUCUUUGUCCCAAUUUAUAUGACACACUUUUUUUUUUAGUUCGUCCCAAAAAGAAUGACAUAUUUCCGUAGUUGGCAAAUGCUUAAUGACACUAUCAACAUUUAUCCAUGUUGGGUCGCACUUAUUUGAAAAAAAAGGUUCACAAAAGUGUACUCUUCUGUUUAAGUUUUGUAAGGAUAUUUAUGGAACUUUGCACAGUCUUUCCAUAUUUCUUAAACUCCGUGCCUAGUCAAACUACAUCACAUAAAUUGGGACGAAGGUUGUAAUAAUUUUAUUUUAACCUUUACCUUGCCUUUUUAUAGUAGCUCUACUCCGUACUCUUUUUUUCUUGUAAAUUUAUCCUUCAAAUUGUUUAUAUGUGACAUUAUGUAACGACAGAAAACAAUAUAAUAUUUUUAAACAUUGUAUUCAUUAAAACAAUACAAUACGAUACAAUACACCACAAAAUAAUACAAUUUGAUACAUUAUGAAACAAUGCGUAACAACCAUCCAAACAGAGUGAAAGGAAUGGAUAGAAGCUUUACUGGGAGUACCAAAGGGUUGUUUCCAUGUUUGUCUGAGAACGGAUUAGAAGUUGUAAAUGUGGCUUAGUAAUUUAAAUUUUGGAAGCUUAGAACAAAUUUUACUAUCCAAAAGGUGACAGUUGUCUUUCGUGUCUGAAUUUUGGCUGCCAAAAUGCCAUUUUUGUCACCCUUCUGUAACUCUCGUCCGAGAUAAGUGAAUAUCAUCUCUAAGGGUAUUUCACAGUCUAGAACAAGUUUGAGAAAGAGUGCUUUGUGUACAUUCCAGCCUCUUAGAGCUUGCUACUUUACCUGUUGAUUUUGAAAGAAUCCAUCUUUCUCUGGACAAGGACAAUACCUCGAGGAGAAGAAGUUCAGAUUUGAAUCCUCUUUCUUUCUUUUAUUUACCCUCUAACUCAUUUGGACAAAGAAGUGAAACUGCUGACCCUCCUUCCUUUCUUUCUUUUUCCUUUUCUUUUUCUUUUGUAAAUAUGUUUAAAUCCUUUUUGAUUGUUCAUGUUUUAUUUUCUCCUUUUUAUGCCCAAGAUUGACAUUCUUCCUUUUGUCAUCUCAUUAAUGGGAGGAAAGACAUCCUGAAAACCCCACAUGUUCUCUUUCUUGUAAAUAUGCCACUGACGUUUUGCAAUAUGAUCUUUUUAUGUACAUGCUCAUAAGAAAGAUCAGGAGUUCUAAUCUAUGUCUUAUAAUGUCUGUUCGAGACAUCAUAUGCCUAAACCCUCUCCAUUGCUAAUCCACUCCCUGACCUUACUUAUAGUUUCAUUUCCUUCAUUUGAAUCUAAUGUUGAAAAUCUGACCAUUUAUGCAUUCAUCUAUUCUAUCCUGCUGAAAACAGAAUGUAGCCUGCUUUGCUCUUUGUAUAUGUGAAGGAACAAAUAAGCAUGCAGAGCUAAUAUUCUUCCUAUGAUCACUUUAUGCAUAUGUGAUGGAGAGAUCUUAGCUGCAAAUAAUGAAGCCUGUCUGGAGAAGUGUCAAUCUAAUUCUGGAUGCAUUGCCUAAUGCUUCUUAUUUUGUUGGAUAGUAACAAGCAACUAGUAACUAAAAGAAUCAUGUUAUACAUGGAAGCUCUUGACAUGAUUUUGACCUGACUGUCCCUAGACUGAGAAUUCUAUCUCCAUUACGGACUCUUGUUUUGCCGUGUUACUUUAAUUGCCACUGCCUUUUAGCUUUGAUAAUUAGAUGAACGGCUGUGCAUAUAAGUUCUAUUGACCUCCUAAAUGUUGAUUGGUAUCUUGUUAGUGAAAUAUCAUCCCAAGUGCUAAUGGUUUUUGUCCUGUCUGGACCAACUUGUCCUUUACUAUUUUUUUUUUCUUUUUUCUUUGUCUACUACAAGUUUUAUGCUUUUCCGGAAGAGAAAACGUGAUCUCAUUAUGACAUUAGAUAGUCGACACUCAACAUCACCAUUCUUUGUUUGCAAAUAUCUACUAGCUACUGUUUCUCUGCAUUACCUUAGUUCUUUGUCAGCUCUCCACUCUCGUUCCUUGUACCAUGUUGUGCUCUAGCAUGAACUGGCAAAUACAUUCUCAAUUUCACUUCCCAUGUGGGACCAUUAUCUCUUGAAUCUUUGAAGGAAACAUUGGAGGAAAGAUGACAAGCUCAGAGGUGUGGGAAUCAAUCCAGUGUGGAUCUAGAGGUCGGAUUCUUCAUCACAUGAAUUUUAGGAUUUGGGAGUAUGGAUCUGAGUGUACAGGUCUGUGGUGUUGUCUCUUUUACUCAUUCAAAUAAGGUACCCAUGAAGAGCUGAGGUCUCUUCCUCCCCUCCAACCCCUGCCCGCGGGCUUCUUAAAAUUUACUCUCUGCAAGCUCUAUGUGGAUGGAACUGCAAUCACUGCUAACACCUACUUCCUUGGCAAAUUCAGUGCAUCUACUUCCAGGAAAAAGAAACACCAAAUUGUAAUAGGAUGUGUACCAAGACCAAUAUCUGCUGGUCUCCGCUGAGAGUCCAGGCAAGUCUCAACUGUGCCUUUUUUCCUUCAACCUUUGUCUCCUGCAAUGAGUUCAACAAUGUAACAAGAAAAACCAUAGUAUACUGAGUUAUUCUCGUUAAGUUGAGUUUUGAUGCCUAUUUCCUGUACAGUAGACGUGCAUAUCAAUUAUAUUGUAGUUUGGAGUUGUUGUCAGUUGACGUUCUGUGCAGUGCUGAUAAAAUUACCUUACCAUUUUCACAGCUGAAAUGUCGUUAAUGCUGAUUUACACUUGGGAAAAGACAAAACAAAUGGUUCUUAAGCAAAAUUUUACUUCCACCCCCCAUUUCCCGUAGUUUGGUUCCUCGAGUUUUUGUUUUUGCUAACUUACAGUUGUAGAGUGAGGAGUGCUAUACAAUUUUGUACAGGAAACCCGAAAUUCUCAGCAGUCCUGCAUUUUUCUGCUGUU